AGGAAGCUGCCCUUUGCAGAAUAUGGGGAGUCUACUGGUGAACCCCCAUUGAAGGUGAGGGUGAGGAACGAUUACACCAUCGUUCCAUCAGACAGCAGCGCCCUGAACCCACCUUGCGCCAGUGAAGAGGAGCCUGAGGCCCGUAAAGAACCAAGCAGUAGAAAGCGCAGAAUGACAGAAGCCUUGGACAAUGAACCACCAAAAAAGAGACGCAUUCUGGACUCGAUGGCUUGCAGCUACUAUGAGUGCUAUUGCUGGAACUUGUGAAGAGAGGGAAGUUCCCAGUGAUACAGGCUCUGUAGGUGGACACUGAUGAAGAGGAAGUCUUCAGCAUUGGGGACUCCAGGUCAACUGAAACAAUGAUCUAUUUUUUGAAAUGCACUUACUGCUUUUUCACACUGUCAGUAUUAUAGCUGGU
Acipenser ruthenus (sterlet) is the source of this 418-nucleotide long non-coding RNA. RefSeq lists it as uncharacterized. The transcript is spliced from 4 exons. The record is from RefSeq and is a predicted model, not a curated record. NCBI's taxonomy places the organism in Eukaryota, Metazoa, Chordata, Actinopteri, Acipenseriformes, Acipenseridae.